AUUGCUUCUCGGCCUUUUGGCUAAGAUCAAGUGUAGUAUCUGUUCUUAUCAGUUUAAUAUCUGAUAUGUCCUGAGGACAAUAUAUUAAAUGGAUUUUUGAAGCUGGGAGUUGGAAUAGAAGCUUGUUCUGUCCACUCCAUGCACUGACCCAGUAUUGCAGUACCUCUGGGAACAGUGCACCAAAC
Small nuclear RNA from Eptesicus fuscus (big brown bat), 185 nucleotides. RefSeq annotates it as U2 spliceosomal RNA. The transcript has a single exon. Lineage: Eukaryota; Metazoa; Chordata; Mammalia; Chiroptera; Vespertilionidae. The record is from RefSeq and is a predicted model, not a curated record.